ACUUCAUGGUUAGGAAAUUACACAAGUUUUUCAUUAAAUCUCUCCCAAACUUCAUAUAGAGGCUCCCUAUUGAGUUGAAAAAAAUUAAAAAUUUCUUCCAGUAAUU
Molecule: non-coding RNA, 106 nt
Organism: Capsicum annuum
Lineage: Eukaryota; Viridiplantae; Streptophyta; Magnoliopsida; Solanales; Solanaceae
Source: Rfam